GACUAACUUGUUAUGGUACUGUUCUGCUCCU
RNAcentral lists this non-coding RNA (31 nucleotides) under Mus musculus (house mouse). Lineage: Eukaryota; Metazoa; Chordata; Mammalia; Rodentia; Muridae. The record is from RNAcentral.